Molecule: ribosomal RNA, 508 nt
Filed under: uncultured bacterium
Lineage: Bacteria
Description: bacterial SSU rRNA
Rfam family: Bacterial small subunit ribosomal RNA
Source: RNAcentral
GACGAACGCUGGCGGCGUGGAUUAGGCAUGCAAGUCGAACGGUAUCAUCCUUUCGGGGGUGAGAGAGUGGCGAACUGGUGAGUAACACGUAGGUUAUCUACCCUCAAGACGGGGACAACCCAGGGAAACUUGGGCUAAUACCGGAUGUGAGCAACUUUUAGUUGUUUGAAAGGUGGCGUAAGCUGUCGCUUGGGGAUGAGCCUGCGUCCUAUUAGUUAGUUGGUGAGGUAACGGCUCACCUAGGCAAUGAUAGGUAGGCGGCCUUAACGGGUGGUCGCCCACACUGGGAUUGAGAUACGGCCCAGACUCCUACGGGAGGCAGCAGUCGAGAAUAGUCUACAAUGGUCGGAAGACUGAUAGUGCGACGCCGCGUGAACGAUGAAUCCCUUCGGGGUGUAAAGUUCUUUUAUAUGUGAGCAGUGCUUCUUAUAUUAACAGUAUGGGGAGAGAGAUAUUAGCAUAUGAAUAAGCAACGGCUAACUCCGUGCCAGCAGCCGACGGUAAAACG